AGUCGAACGAGAAGGCGUAGCAAUACGCUUGUACAGUGGCGAACGGGUGAGUAAUGCGUGGGCAACCUACCCUCGAGUGGGGAACAACCAGCCGAAAGGUUGGCUAAUACCGCGUACGCUCCUGGGGCUGCGGCUCCGGGAGGAAAGCCGGACCGUGGGUUCGGCGCUCAAGGAUGGGCUCAUGUCCUAUCAGCUAGUUGGUAGGGUAACGGCCUACCAAGGCUCUGACGGGUAGCUGGUCUGAGAGGACGAUCAGCCACACUGGCACUGCGACACGGGCCAGACUCCUACGGGAGGCAGCAGUGAGGAAUAUUGCGCAAUGGGCGAAAGCCUGACGCAGCGACGCCGCGUGGGGGAUGAAGGUCUUCGGAUUGUAAACCCCUUUCGGGAGGGAAGAUGGGACGGGCAACCGUCCGGACGGUACCUCCAGAAGCAGCCACGGCUAACUUCGUGCCAGCAGCCGCGGUAAUACGAAGGUGGCAAGCGUUGUUCGGAUUUACUGGGCGUACAGGGUGCGUAGGCGGUGCGGCAAGUCGGGAGUGAAAUCUCUGGGCUUAACUCAGAGGCUGCUUCCGAAACUGCCGUGCUCGAGUGCGGGAGA
RNAcentral lists this ribosomal RNA (601 nucleotides) under uncultured bacterium. Its description in RNAcentral is "bacterial SSU rRNA". It matches the Rfam family "Bacterial small subunit ribosomal RNA", at positions 60 to 655 of the family's 1533-position model. The record is from RNAcentral.